Molecule: long non-coding RNA, 851 nt
Organism: Miniopterus natalensis
Lineage: Eukaryota; Metazoa; Chordata; Mammalia; Chiroptera; Miniopteridae
Source: RefSeq, a predicted model, not a curated record
UUUGAAAGUAAUAAAAUUGCAUAUUUAAGGUCUGUAAUUACACCUAUUAUUUCUUCUUUCACCUUAGCAAAAAUUCAAGGGUUAUUAUAUUAGUCCAUUGUCCUCCUAAGGAAGUGUUAAUAUGGCGUAACAAUCUGAUAUUUUCAUUUCCCUUAUUUUCCAAAGUGCAUACGAGAAGGAGAAGCAAGUGUCAAUACCACAGGAAGUUUACCUUGAAAAUUAUUUACAUCGUCUGAAUAAGUGUUUAUGCUUUCUGAUUUUGUGCAUGUUGAAGGCUUGUAAUUUUGUCCCUUAUUUCAUCAUUCCCAGAUCACAGUUUCUUCGGUUUGCCACAUAAUGUGAAAUUUACCCUCUCAGUUGGUAAAACCUUGUAGAAAGCCUGUUUUCCUUUCAGUGGCUGAAUUUUCUGGUGUUUCUGAGCAACAGCUCCUGCAUGCCCAUCUCAGAACAAACACAAUCUGCAUUCAGAGCAGGACCCUGUACAAGUUGAAUGGAGUUAUUCUGGGUGCAGUGUGUUUACUGGCCCUUCCACAGCCCCACAGCUCCUGUGGCCUCUUGGAGGAAUUUUGAAGGCACUUUGUAGAAAGAGCAGGAACCCUGGCCUUGGCCCUGCUGUCUUCUCUCUGGUCAAGGAACUCAAGCAAGUCUCCUCCUCAACCUUAAAAAUAAUGAACUUGAUCUUCAGAUACCAUUCGUAUAAACUUACAAAGCCUCAUAAUACAAGCAGCACUCAAAACAAAUGAAAAAAAAGAUUCAUUACUAAACUAUUUUGGUGAUCCAUUAUUUUUAUUGGUCAAUAUUUUUAGACACUUUCUUAGGAAAGAAAUGGUUAAUGUUUGAUAAAAAAAAAU